RNAcentral lists this ribosomal RNA (467 nucleotides) under uncultured bacterium. Its description in RNAcentral is "partial 16S ribosomal RNA". It matches the Rfam family "Bacterial small subunit ribosomal RNA", at positions 29 to 507 of the family's 1533-position model. The record is from RNAcentral.
ACGAACGCUGGCGGCGUGCUUCACACAUGCAAGUCGCACGGAAAGACCCUGCUUUUGUGGGGUGCUCGAGUGGCGAACGGGUGAGUAACACGUGAGUAACCUGCCCUUGACUUUGGGAUAACUUCAGGAAACUGGGGCUAAUACCGGAUAGGAGCUCCUGCUGCAUGGUGGGGGUUGGAAAGUUUCGGCGGUUGGGGAUGGACUCGCGGCUUAUCAGCUUGUUGGUGGGGUAGUGGCUUACCAAGGCUUUGACGGGUAGCCGGCCUGAGAGGGUGACCGGCCACAUUGGGACUGAGAUACGGCCCAGACUCCUACGGGAGGCAGCAGUGGGGAAUAUUGCACAAUGGGCGGAAGCCUGAUGCAGCAACGCCGCGUGCGGGAUGACGGCCUUCGGGUUGUAAACCGCUUUCGCCUGUGACGAAGCGUGAGUGACGGUAAUGGGUAAAGAAGCACCGGCUAACUACGUG